UACGGAGGGUGCGAGCGUUGUCCGGAAUUACUGGGCGUAAAGGGCGCGUAGGCGGCCUACUAAGUCGGACGUGAAAUCCCUCGGCUCAACCGGGGAACUGCGUCCGAUACUGGUGGGCUCGAAUCCGGGAGAGGGAUGUGGAAUUCCAGGUGUAGCGGUGAAAUGCGUAGAUAUCCGGAGGAACACCGGUGGCGAAGGCGGCUUCCUGGACCGACACUGACGCUGAGGCGCGAAAGCUAGGGGAGCAAACGGG
Molecule: ribosomal RNA, 253 nt
Filed under: uncultured bacterium
Lineage: Bacteria
Description: partial 16S ribosomal RNA
Rfam family: Bacterial small subunit ribosomal RNA
Source: RNAcentral